GACGAACGCUGGCGGCGUGCCUAAUACAUGCAAGUAGAACGCUGAAGAGAGGAGCUUGCUCUUCUUGGAUGAGUUGCGAACGGGUGAGUAACGCGUAGGUAACCUGCCUUGUAGCGGGGGAUAACUAUUGGAAACGAUAGCUAAUACCGCAUAACAAUGGAUGACACAUGUCAUUUAUUUGAAAGGGGCAAUUGCUCCACUACAAGAUGGACCUGCGUUGUAUUAGCUAGUAGGUGAGGUAACGGCUCACCUAGGCGACGAUACAUAGCCGACCUGAGAGGGUGAUCGGCCACACUGGGACUGAGACACGGCCCAGACUCCUACGGGAGGCAGCAGUAGGGAAUCUUCGGCAAUGGGGGCAACCCUGACCGAGCAACGCCGCGUGAGUGAAGAAGGUUUUCGGAUCGUAAAGCUCUGUUGUAAGUCAAGAACGAGUGUGAGAGUGGAAAGUUCACACUGUGACGGUAGCUUACCAGAAAGGGACGGCUAACUACGUGCCAGCAGCCGCGGUAAUACGUAGGUCCCGAGCGUUGUCCGGAUUUAUUGGGCGUAAAGCGAGCGCAGGCGGUUUGAUAAGUCUGAAGUUAAAGGCUGUGGCUCAACCAUAGUUCGCUUUGGAAACUGUCAAACUUGAGUGCAGAAGGGGAGAGUGGAAUUCCAUGUGUAGCGGUGAAAUGCGUAGAUAUAUGGAGGAACACCGGUGGCGAAAGCGGCUCUCUGGUCUGUAACUGACGCUGAGGCUCGAAAGCGUGGGGAGCGAACAGGAUUAGAUACCCUGGUAGUCCACGCCGUAAACGAUGAGUGCUAGGUGUUGGAUCCUUUCCGGGAUUCAGUGCCGCAGCUAACGCAUUAAGCACUCCGCCUGGGGAGUACGACCGCAAGGUUGAAACUCAAAGGAAUUGACGGGGGCCCGCACAAGCGGUGGAGCAUGUGGUUUAAUUCGAAGCAACGCGAAGAACCUUACCAGGUCUUGACAUCCCGAUGCUAUUUCUAGAGAUAGAAAGUUACUUCGGUACAUCGGUGACAGGUGGUGCAUGGUUGUCGUCAGCUCGUGUCGUGAGAUGUUGGGUUAAGUCCCGCAACGAGCGCAACCCCUAUUGUUAGUUGCCAUCAUUCAGUUGGGCACUCUAGCGAGACUGCCGGUAAUAAACCGGAGGAAGGUGGGGAUGACGUCAAAUCAUCAUGCCCCUUAUGACCUGGGCUACACACGUGCUACAAUGGUUGGUACAACGAGUUGCGAGUCGGUGACGGCAAGCUAAUCUCUUAAAGCCAAUCUCAGUUCGGAUUGUAGGCUGCAACUCGCCUACAUGAAGUCGGAAUCGCUAGUAAUCGCGGAUCAGCACGCCGCGGUGAAUACGUUCCCGGGCC
RNAcentral lists this ribosomal RNA (1368 nucleotides) under uncultured bacterium. Its description in RNAcentral is "16S ribosomal RNA". It matches the Rfam family "Bacterial small subunit ribosomal RNA", at positions 28 to 1380 of the family's 1533-position model. The record is from RNAcentral.